RNAcentral lists this ribosomal RNA (475 nucleotides) under uncultured bacterium. Its description in RNAcentral is "bacterial SSU rRNA". It matches the Rfam family "Bacterial small subunit ribosomal RNA", at positions 8 to 506 of the family's 1533-position model. The record is from RNAcentral.
AGAGUUUGAUUCUGGCUCAGGACGAACGCUGGCGGCGUGCUUAACACAUGCAAGUCACGGGGGCCCGCAAGGGCAACCGGCGAACGGGUGCGUAACACGUGAGCGACCUGCCGAGGUGUGGGGGAUAGCCGGGCCAACGCCCGGGUAAUACCGCAUACGAUCACUGGGGGGCAUCCCCUGGUGAUGAAACCUCCGGGGCACUUCGAGGGGCUCGCGGCUUAUCAGCUAGUUGGCGGGGUAACGGCCCACCAAGGCUACGACGAGUAGCUGGUCUGAGAGGAUGGCCAGCCACAUUGGGACUGAGAUACGGCCCAGACUCCUACGGGAGGCAGCAGUGGGGAAUCUUGCGCAAUGGGCGAAAGCCUGACGCAGCGACGCCGCGUGGAGGAUGAAGCUUUUCGGAGUGUAAACUCCUGUUGCUCGGGACGAAUCCCUGGUUCUUCCAGGUGACGUACCACUAGAAGNCCGAUNCCGU